This 1210-nucleotide ribosomal RNA is filed under the name Biston panterinaria. RNAcentral's name for it is "partial 16S ribosomal RNA". The record is from RNAcentral. Lineage: Eukaryota; Metazoa; Arthropoda; Insecta; Lepidoptera; Geometridae.
AUUUGGGGAUUAAUAAAUUUAUAUUUAAUAAAAAUAAUUUUAAUUUAAUAAAUAUUUUAAUGGGGGUUAAAGUAUUUUUUAAAGAAAAAAUUUUUAAUUUUAUAGUAUAAUAGUAUUGUGUAAGAAUUUUGAAAUAAUUGAAAAUUUAAUUUUAAUAAAGUAAUUUUUAUUUGAUGUAUCUUGUGUAUCAGAGUUUAUUUAAAUUUUUAAUUUUUAAAUUAAUUUCUCGAAUUUAAAAGAGUUAAAUAAUUAUUAAAUUUAUUGUUGCAAAAAUAUUUUAAAUAAUUAUUUAGAAAUGAAAUGUUAAUCGUUUUUAAAUAUAUCUAGUUUUUAUAGAAAAAAUUUUAAUUUUAAAUUUAAUUUUAUUAUUAAUUAAUUAAUUAAUUAAAUAAUUAUUUAAAUUUUAUAUUUUAAGGGAUAAGCUUUAAAUUAAAUUUUUAUAAUAAAAAAUAUUUAUUUUUGAAAAUUUUAUAAUUUAUAUUGUUAAUAAAUUUUAUUUUAUUAUAAAUAAUUUCAUUUUAUUAAAAAAUUUAAAUUUUUAUUUAAUUUUUUAUAUAAAAUUUAUUUUUAAUUAUUAAAAAUUAAUUAUAAUGAUAAAAUUAGUAUAUUAUAUUUUAAAAAUUAUUUUUAAUUUGAAUUUUAUUAUUUAAUUUAAUUAAUUAAAAGGAAUUCGGCAAAUAUUUAUUUUCACUUGUUUAUCAAAAACAUGUCUUUUUGUUGAUUUAUUUAAAGUCUAAUCUGCCCACUGAUUUUAAUUGAAGGGCUGCAGUAUUUUGACUGUACAAAGGUAGCAUAAUCAUUAGUCUCUUAAUUGGUGACUUGUAUGAAAGAUUGGAUGAGAAAUAUACUGUCUCUUAAUUAAUGUGUAGAAUUUAAUUUUUUAUUUAAAAAGUUAAAAUAAAUUAAAAAGACGAGAAGACCCUAUAGAGUUUAAUAAAUUUUUUUAUGAUAAUUUUAUUUGUAUUAAAUUGAAAUAAUUUUAUAAAUUUAUUUAUUUUAUUGGGGUGAUAGAAAAAUAAAUUUAACUUUUUUUAAAGAAUUUAACAAAAAUAUAUGAUUAAAUGAUCCAGUUUAUUAUUGAUUAAAAGAUUAAAUUACCUUAGGGAUAACAGCGUAAUUUUUUUUUUUAGUUCGAAUAAUAAAAAAAGUUUGCGACCUCGAUGUUGGAUUAAGAUAAAAUUUAAAUGUAAAAGUUUAAAAUUUUGAUCUG